UACGUAGGGCGCAAGCGUUGUCCGGAAUCAUUGGGCGUAAAGAGCUCGUAGGCGGCUUGUCACGUCGGGUGUGAAAGCCCGGGGCUUAACCCCGGGUCUGCAUUCGAUACGGGCUGGCUAGAGUGUGGUAGGGGAGAUCGGAAUUCCUGGUGUAGCGGUGAAAUGCGCAGAUAUCAGGAGGAACACCGGUGGCGAAGGCGGCAUCCUGGACCGGCAUUGACGCUGAGGCGCGAAAGCCAGGGGAGCAAACGGG
RNAcentral lists this ribosomal RNA (253 nucleotides) under uncultured bacterium. RNAcentral's name for it is "partial 16S ribosomal RNA". It matches the Rfam family "Bacterial small subunit ribosomal RNA", at positions 524 to 776 of the family's 1533-position model. The record is from RNAcentral.